This 1252-nucleotide ribosomal RNA is filed under the name metagenome. RNAcentral's name for it is "bacterial LSU rRNA". It matches the Rfam family "Bacterial large subunit ribosomal RNA", at positions 1632 to 2876 of the family's 2925-position model. The record is from RNAcentral.
CCAUAUACGACCGUACCGCAAACCGACACUGGUGCGCGAGAUGAGUAUUCUAAGGCGCUUGAGAGAACUCAGGAGAAGGAACUCGGCAAAUUGACACCGUAACUUCGGAAGAAGGUGUGCCCUAUUAGUGUGUAGUGAACAACGAAGCAUGAAUGGGUUGCAAAAAAUCGGUGGCUGCGACUGUUUAUUAAAAACACAGCACUCUGCAAACACGAAAGUGGACGUAUAGGGUGUGACGCCUGCCCGGUGCUGGAAGAUUAAAUGAUGGGGUGCAAGCUCUUGAUUGAAGUCCCAGUAAACGGCGGCCGUAACAAUAACGGUCCUAAGGUAGCGAAAUUCCUUGUCGGGUAAGUUCCGACCUGCACGAAUGGCGUAACGAUGGCCACACUGUCUCCUCCUGAGACUCAGCGAAGUUGAAAUGUUUGUGAUGAUGCAAUCUCCCCGCGGAAAGACGGAAAGACCCCAUGAACCUUUACUGUAGCUUUGUAUUGGACUUUGAACAGAUCUGUGUAGGAUAGGUGGGAGGCUUUGAAGCAGGGUCGCUAGAUCUUGUGGAGCCAACGUUGAAAUACCACCCUGGUGUGUUUGAGGUUCUAACCUAGGUCCAUUAUCUGGAUCGGGGACAGUGCAUGGUAGGCAGUUUGACUGGGGCGGUCUCCUCCCAAAGCGUAACGGAGGAGUUCGAAGGUACGCUAGUUACGGUCGGACAUCGUGACGAUAGUGCAAUGGCAUAAGCGUGCUUAACUGCGAGACUGACAAGUCGAGCAGAUGCGAAAGCAGGACAUAGUGAUCCGGUGGUUCUGUAUGGAAGGGCCAUCGCUCAACGGAUAAAAGGUACUCUGGGGAUAACAGGCUGAUACCGCCCAAGAGUUCAUAUCGACGGCGGUGUUUGGCACCUCGAUGUCGGCUCAUCUCAUCCUGGGGCUGUAGCCGGUCCCAAGGGUAUGGCUGUUCGCCAUUUAAAGAGGUACGUGAGCUGGGUUUAAAACGUCGUGAGACAGUUUGGUCCCUAUCUUCCGUGGGCGCUGCAGAUUUGAGGAAGCCUGCUCCUAGUACGAGAGGACCGGAGUGGACACACCUCUGGUGUAUCGGUUGUCACGCCAGUGGCAUUGCCGAGUAGCUAAGUGUGGAAGAGAUAACCGCUGAAAGCAUCUAAGCGGGAAACUCGUUUCAAGAUGAGAUCUGCCGGGGCCUUGAGCCCCCUAAAGAGUCGUUCAAGACCAGGACGUUGAUAGGUCAGGUGUGGAAGCCA